CAGACUGUGUGCUCUUCCGAUCUGUGCAUGUAGCUUUAUAUCGUUAGUUACUUUGGUUGAACAGGGCUGACAUUAAAAGGUAGUUAUUUGGAGUAGCAGGCU
Molecule: long non-coding RNA, 102 nt
Organism: Clupea harengus (Atlantic herring)
Lineage: Eukaryota; Metazoa; Chordata; Actinopteri; Clupeiformes; Clupeidae
Exons: 3
Source: RefSeq, a predicted model, not a curated record